This 253-nucleotide ribosomal RNA is filed under the name uncultured bacterium. RNAcentral's name for it is "partial 16S ribosomal RNA". It matches the Rfam family "Bacterial small subunit ribosomal RNA", at positions 524 to 776 of the family's 1533-position model. The record is from RNAcentral.
UACGGGGGGGGCAAGCGUUGUUCGGAAUUACUGGGCGUAAAGGGCUCGUAGGUGGCCAACUAAGUCAGACGUGAAAUCCCUCAGCUUAACCGGGGAACUGCGUCUGAUACUGGAUGGCUUGAGUUUGGGAGAGGGAUGCGGAAUUCCAGGUGUAGCGGUGAAAUGCGUAGAUAUCUGGAGGAACACCGGUGGCGAAGGCGGCAUCCUGGACCAAUACUGACACUGAGGAGCGAAAGCCAGGGGAGCAAACGGG